Molecule: ribosomal RNA, 590 nt
Filed under: uncultured haloarchaeon
Lineage: Archaea; Methanobacteriati; Methanobacteriota; Halobacteria; Halobacteriales; Halobacteriaceae
Description: bacterial SSU rRNA
Rfam family: Archaeal small subunit ribosomal RNA
Source: RNAcentral
GCAGCAGGCGCGAAACCUUUACACUGCACGCCAGUGCGAUAAGGGGAUCCCAAGUGCGUAGGCAUAGAGCCUACGCUUUUGUCCACCCUAGGGUGGUGGACGAAUAAGGGCUGGGCAAGACCGGUGCCAGCCGCCGCGGUAAUACCGGCAGCCCGAGUGAUGGCCGAUCUUAUUGGGCCUAAAGCGUCCGUAGCUGGCCGCACAAGUCCAUCGGGAAAUCCACCUGCUCAACAGGUGGGCGUCCGGUGGAAACUGUGUGGCUUGGGACCGGAAGGCGCGACGGGUACGUCCGGGGUAGGAGUGAAAUCCCGUAAUCCUGGACGGACCGCCGAUGGCGAAAGCACGUCGCGAAAACGGAUCCGACAGUGAGGGACGAAAGCUAGGGUCUCGAACCGGAUUAGAUACCCGGGUAGUCCUAGCCGUAAACACUGCCUGCUAGGUGUGGCACCCACUACGAGUAGGUGCUGUGCCGUAGGGAAGCCGCUAAGCAGGCCGCCUGGGAAGUACGUCCGCAAGGAUGAAACUUAAAGGAGUUGGCGGGGGAGCACUACAACCGGAGGAGCCUGCGGUUUAAUUGGAUUCAACGCCGG